CGGGAGCGCCGCGCCAGCCGCCGGGCGCACGGAGCGGCCACCAUCUUCGCUGCCGCCGCGCUCCCGAGAGCCGCCGCAUCCGCCGCCGCACGGAGUUUUCAGCCGGGCAGAGCCAGACGUCAGCAGGAGGAGGGCGGAGGCUGGCACUCUCACCGGUCUACACGUCAAAUCUGAAAGAGCGAAACAGAGAAGGGAAUUACUGUUCAAGAGGCUGAUAAGAACUUCACCAUCUCAGACUGCAGUUCAGUGUCUGCUCUGCAACAAGCUCCCAACUUGUGCCUUUUUGUUUUUAAACACUGGAUCUUGCUAUAUGUUAAAGGCUGAAACUCCUCAGACCUGCAAGCUCGAAAUGAACAUAAAGCUGAAGUUCGCAGCAGAGAUACAUCCCGGCUUGCAGCCAAACACUAAGGGUGAUCAGUCAAGGGUACGGGACACGGAGAGCAGAACGCUGUUCCCAUAGCCAGUGCCGCAAAAAUCAAUGCAUGUGAUAUGGGAAUCCGUGUACUGAGGCCGGUGGAUUGAGAAUAUCAUUGGGCUGCCCUACAACAUAUGGACUGAGAACAAAGUGAAGUCACGGAGCUGAGCAUCAAGAACUCACUUGAAAUGGGAGUGAUGGCGAACAACACACAAACCAACAAGAACGACAACAACAACAGAUCUGAAGGAAGAAAUGCAUUAAAAAUUGGGUAAAAUUAUCCCUUGAGCAAUGCUGGAUGACACCCAGACUAAACAUCACUGAACAGCGGAGCUGUUCCAGUUUGUGCCACGGGAACGUCAAAAUACUUCCUUCUCCUCCGUAAACAUCCUGUAGUUCUUUCUGGAAAACGGAAGAGUACCACAUGUGACAAGUGUUCUUAAGCAGCAUGCUGAGCACCAAAUGUGAACUAUAAUUCAUAAAUCAUGCUCGUAAUUUAUAAGGAAUGGCUCUGUUAACGCUUCUGCUAACUAGCUAACCUGUUUUGAGAGAUGCAGCCAGAACGUGAGUUGCUGUGGUGACUGUCACUGCGGGCACCGCGGCAGCUGGCACAGACAACGGCCUUUCCUCAAUGAGGAGAAAACAAUUCUCAGAAUGGCGAAAGGCUGAGGAAAGCCCUCGAUGAGAAGCAGAAAUGAAAGUAUGUGAGGGUGGAGAACAUCAUCUUCUCUCAUGUAAACCCCACUGAAAACCACCAAAGGAAGCCUAUGUCAUCUCUCAACCUUAGUUCAGCAAAUGAGCAACUUCCAAGGGAUACAACUGAAAGAGGAGAGACAUGGUAUCUCCAGAUAUGCUGGAGUUAUUCUUGCACGACAGCCAGAGAGCAAACCCUCUUCAUUCAGGGCAAGCAGCUUCACCUUCAUGCGCUGGUGUUUUUGAUCAUCAGAAGGAAGAGUUAAAGACAAACCGGCUUGUUACUCAAUUCAGAGUCUGACAAAGAGAAAAGUUAGAAUCAUUAUGGCCACAUGCACAGUUGAUGGACCUGGAAUCAUCCUCUGUGCCCCAAGACAUGUUUAUGGCUAUUAGAAAGCUGGACUGCAUGGUUCACAGUUUCUCAGUUGGCAAGAAAGGCAGAGAUUUAAUGAAACCUUGAAAUCCUCUGGCCUAAUUUGUGUCAGGCUUCUAUCAGAGAUACGUGCAGAUAUUUUCAACUGCCCAGCACACAUUCAAAUAAAUGUGCUAAAUACAGAUAUAUAUAUAGAAGUACCACAAUGAGAGAGGAGAAUUACAUACAAAAGUCUCUUGCGUAUUUCUACCAAUAGAAUUCAGUUUAUUCAUCCCUGCCAAUUAAAACUAAGGGGCAAUAUGGAAUAUAUUUCUCAGACUCUUUGGCAAUACCAUUUCAGAAGUCUCCUGCAGCCCUCAGUAUUUCAGGGCUCUCCAGCCAGGAGCGGUUCAGCUGAUUGUAUUCCCACCUGCCAGAAUUUGGGGUGUUUUCUUUACUUUUUCCUACUUUCCCACCUUCUCCUUUUUAACACCCAUUUUCCAUCUCAAGCCAGUAAAACCUGCCGUGGAAAGCUGAGCUCAGCAUCAGUCCAGCGCCACUCUAGGAAAACUUCUGGGAAAAUCUCUUGGAAAGCUAUUAAAACAGUCAGCGAGGCACUUUCCUCCCUUGAACACGGAUUCCUGGCUGCUGGAAAAAACCCGCCAGAGCCCCAAAACCCGCCGGAGCCCCAAAAGCCCCAAAACCCGCCGGAGCCUCCGGCCUCGCGCCGCCAGGUGGCGCCGCAGCAUCGGCUUCGGGGGCGACGCGGGGACCGGGGGGACCCGGGGGGGACAACGCGGGGACCAGGGGGAACCGGGGGGGCUCGGGGAGACCCCGAGGCUCCGACACCUCUCAGGAAUGCGCCCCCAGCCUGUGCCGGCGCUUCACCCAGAACCAGGCACCGGUCGCUGGUAUUCAGGCUCAUUCUGCUCCCCAAACCUGCGAGGGAAGCGAAAAGGAAGGAGCCAAGGGGGAACCAGCCCGGACACGGGCACGUUUGAACCUUCCGAAAGCACCUGGUUGCACGGAGGGACUGUCACCAAGGCUGACAGGUGACACCCGAGGCUGCCGUGUGCCCUGAAGCGGAGCCACCGUCCUUGGGCUGGGACCUUGUGGUUCAAAGAGGAGCGCAAGGAGACACCAGUGCUGGGCAGAGGAACAGCCCAAAGCCCAGCAAGGGUAUUUAUUGAAUCUGGCUCCAAGGCAGCAGCUGUGCCCGUGCUCCCCGCCGUGCUGGUGUCCCCUGCACCUGGCUGAACUCCCAGAUCUUCAGCGAGGUGCAGGUCACACCAAGCACUGAACACGUGCAGGGCUGUUUUACGAGAUUAGAGCUUAAAGGGGAAUAGACGGAGGCUGAAGCAGUUCGGUUUGGUACUUCUCUUACAUCCCAGUUCGGCAGCAAAGUCGAGCGAGGCAGAACGUGGCACUAAGGUCCCUGUGCUGCUGGAGGCCUCUGAGCACCCAGGUGGUGGGCGAGCAGGGUGCAGCACUCCUCCUCUGCAAUGCUCAGGAAAAGCUGCUUUCUGCCCCCUUCAAACAGUGAUUCUCAGCAGCAACAAUACCGAGUGGUUUCUAUGGGGUCCGCAGUGGGCUGGCGGCUGCAGCAGCAGGUUAACCUCAGGAGGAACGGGGUGUGAUAGAAAGGGGCACUUUUCUGGUCUGAUGCCUCUGCAAAGAGUCCCUCUCCAUGUACUGGGCUGAGCUGGGCUAUAUCAACAUGUGAGAGAGAUGGAAAAGCAGGUCUAUUCACUUUUAUGUGAUGACAACCAGAUGCUACGGUAGAACUUGGCCUAGAGAUGGCUGGAAACGGGCUGUCUGCUCGGGGAACGCGGUCGGUCCAUCCACACGCAGCAAGGAACUGCUGGUGAAACUUCAUUGCUUAAGGAGGGUGGGGCGCUGGUCUUUCAUCUGACAGAGGGGAAAAUAAAAAAUAGAUGGAAACAGCCUUAACCACCACUGAUUCACAUGAUAUUGCACCAAACCGCAAAGAGAGGUAAAUUUUGGACUGCUAUUUUGAGAGCUCUUAUUAAUCUUCAGCACAGCAGAGCUUUUCCCCAGCCGCCAGCUCAGCAGCAGCAACACAGCUCAAUAGAGUCUUUCAUGGGCUCGACAGCGCGGAGCUCGCCCGGGACUCCUUGCAUCUUGCAGCCCCCUUCCCAUCGCAUGCUCUGCUCUCCUGGGGCAUUGCCAGGGCAGGAACAACCAUCACAGCCAACCCUGCAGCACCCAGAGACAGCACCACGCUCAGCUAUUGAAGGGUAAGCUCUGCCCUUGCCCACUGACAUUGCUCUUUAGUUAUUACAGACGAUGCUGCUGCUCGUGACACUCAUGAAACAGCUGGUCGGGCUCUACGCAACCCCCGCCACACGGCUUCAUACACCAUUCUGUGCAAAUUGGUUAUUGUCUCGCUGACCACUGCUCCUACGGCUCAAAAGCACUUGGCUCUCGGAAGGGUGGAACCCAAAGUUCUUGGCUAAGGUGAAGAACUAUUAUAUAUUAUUCAGAGUGCAUGAUUUUUAAACUGAGCUAUGCUUGAAGACUGGAAAAUUAUCGGUAAUGAAGUUUCUAGACCUCAGCAAGAUGCCGGGACUCCUGUGUGGUUGUCAGAUAAACAAGAACAUGCAGGAAGUCACAGUCAUGUCACAAACAGCAACGAGGAGCCUGUUCUGAUUACAGCACAUUUGUAAAAGGACAGUUUCUCAUUCAAGGCCCCAUUUGAAGUCCACGGAACGAAAAGCUGGCUGUCCCAGCGGAGGCUGCGAUCCAACCCGAAACACAAAUGAAACACAAGGAACCCCAGGAUGACUUUGCCGGUGGGAUCCAUAACUCGAGUUAACAUAACACAGCCAUGGCCACGUCCAUCCCAGAGCCUCGGGAGCGUUAUUCCCCACAACAGUUCUAACCUCCAAGAUAACUUGAGCUCUCUCGUCACUCAUCUGCCUUAUGAUAAGUCUACAUCCUUAUGUAUUCUCUCUGCCAAAAGGCAACUUUUAAAAUGCGAUAAAAUAAAACUGUGUACAAAUUAAACAGUCAACACAUUUUACUGCUGCUCAGUAACUAAAAUGCUUUCACUGUGCUAUGCAAUAUAUAACUGCUGAAAUUACUUUCAUGUGUGUUUAUAAGUCUUCCUAUAUUUUCUCCUCAUUACUCCAAAUACAUUUUAAAAGCUUGUUAAGAUAGAUUUGUUGGCAUUUUGUAUCUAGCUGACUGUGCAUGUUAAAGGCUUUGAGUGCGAGUUUCCCAACUUGAAACACACUAUUUUUCAUGCUGCUUGUUAAACACGUAUCAUUCCAACCAUGUACAUUAAUUGGCUUGUCUGGGGAAACAGGCCUGAGUUUAUGAAGUCUGUCACCCUGCUUUGUAGCUUAAUUAUAAAAUACAAUUAUUUUCCUUUUCCCCAGUCAGACUAUUUGCACUGGAUUAUUUUUUUCUU
Columba livia (rock pigeon) is the source of this 4893-nucleotide long non-coding RNA. RefSeq lists it as uncharacterized. The transcript is spliced from 5 exons. The record is from RefSeq and is a predicted model, not a curated record. Lineage: Eukaryota; Metazoa; Chordata; Aves; Columbiformes; Columbidae.